Molecule: ribosomal RNA, 152 nt
Filed under: Mesomycoplasma hyorhinis
Lineage: Bacteria; Bacillati; Mycoplasmatota; Mycoplasmoidales; Metamycoplasmataceae
Description: Mycoplasma hyorhinis partial 16S ribosomal RNA
Source: RNAcentral
AGCUGAUGGAGCGAACAGCGUGCAGGAUGAAGUUCUUCGGAAUGUAAACUGCUGUUAUAAGGGAAGAAAAAAUAGAAUAGGAAAUGACUUUAUCUUGAAAUCAUUCGGAAAAGCUUCUAUAAUUAUGACAACUUCCCAAAAACAUAUCUUGA